Molecule: long non-coding RNA, 3309 nt
Filed under: Equus caballus (horse)
Lineage: Eukaryota; Metazoa; Chordata; Mammalia; Perissodactyla; Equidae
Description: lncRNA (ENSECAG00000053564.1)
Source: RNAcentral
CAAACUGGUGCAGCCACUGUGGAAAACGUUAUAGAGAUUGCUCAAAAAAUUAAGAAUAGAACUACUGUGUGAUCCAGCUAUUCCACUACUGGGUAUUUAUCCAAAAACCAUGAAAACAUGAAUGCAUAAAGAUAGAUUCACCCCUGUGUUCAUUGCAGCAUUAUUCACAAUAGCCAAGACUUGGAAACAACCUAAGUGCCCAUCAAGGGACAGAUGGAUAAAGAAGAUGUGGCUUUGCUUCUGGAGUUGAAGGGGCGCAGCACCUGCCCGUUUACCACCCUAGAGCUCGUUGAUUGCAAGAUGGAUCCGUGGUCUCUCGGGAGACUUGGGGAGGCUCUGCAGUUCAGCAGUUUGCACUCUCUUGUCCUGGAUUACUGCAACUUUGGAAUUGAAGAAAUUGAGCGUAUUUUCUCAGGCCUGGAGAACAACCAAAGGCUCCAAGGCCUCAGCCUGCGUUACUGUGGUCCGGGGCCACGGAGCGGGCCGGCGCUGGGCUCGGUCGUAAGCCAGAGUGCUGUCCGUGAGCUGCACCUCGACGGCAAUUACUUGCAAUGUUCUGGAGCUCUGGCUCUGCUCAGACCCCUAGCAGAGUAUGCAGAGAUGCAGGGCAAAGGCUGGCCCACCACAUCCUCACCAGACGCCAGGAAUCCCCCUCAGCUGCUCGGAGUCAGCCACAGAGCAAGUUCAACUUUGAACCCGAUUACAAAGUCAUCUGGAGCUGUAACAGUGAAAACUACUUCAGGGAAGAAUAAGAGAAAGAAAGGAAUCAAGAAAAAAGUUAAAGGUUUGACUGAAGCUGGUCCUUGGUUAGUGAAAUUGCAUUUGGCAGAUAAUGGCAUAGAUGGAAAAGGAAACGAAGGAGAAAAAGGCUUCUUGGAAUUCACUCAGAUUUUAACAUGCCUGAUCAAAUACUCUGCCCACUUAAGGGAAAUUGACCUUGGAAACAACGGCCUGGGAGAAAGGGCUGCUGCUGACAUACUUGAAGCACUGCGAGCCAGAAAGGCAGGUAAACUGCCAGUCUUAAAACUUACAGUCACUCCUCAGAUCUCCUCAGACACCUUCCGAUCUAUUUGGAAAAAUAGCAAGAAAUCUUAUAUUACCCGUAAAAAGAAGAAAAAGGUUAAAAACUGACUAUGGAUGCCAUCUAUUUCUAUGGCCAACCAGAUAUGCCUAGAAAGAUAUUGCUUGUUCUAUAAUAAUAUUUUUCACUGUAACCAAGCCCCUUUCAAGUUCUAAAAUUUGACAAAACAAUUUUAUGAAAAUUCAAAGAAGUGUUAAUCCUAUCGUGCUUGUCAACUUCUAAAAUGUGAAUUUCACAAGUAGGCCUUAGAGAAAAUGGGUGGGAUUCUCUUCUGGAGCUUCUUCUCUUAUACAUGUGAAAUUUAUGAUUUGAAGGAAGUCAUGUUCUUUAUCUAAGACAGAAAGAAUCUUCUUUCAUAAAUAUAUCUAUAGUUGGGAACAAUAGUAAUUUUUGGAAAUAAUAACCACUUUAUAAAAGACAACAUCCCUCCAAAUGGGCAUCUCCUCCAAAUAAGGAAACUUCUGAUCACCAUACCCCCCAUGAAGAUGUCAGACAGAAAUGGAGGAAGUGUGGUUGAUGUAUGUAUGGAUGAUAAAUUGGAUUAGUUGAAUUUUAUAUGCCAGGACAAUAUGGUGCAGGAAUGAAAAGCAUGGACUGGGGAGUUAGAUGAACAAGAAUUCUUUGUGGAAACCAGCUGCUUUCCAAGUAUGUGACUUUGGGCAAGUCAAUUAACCUCAUUGUGCCUCAGUUUCCCUUUAUAUAAGAUACAGAUAAUAAUAGCAUCUAUCUCAUUUGGUUAGCAUUGAAUGAGAGGACACAUGGCAAGCAUUUUAGGUCAAUACUUGUUUCAUAGUACAUGCUCACAAAUAAAUAUUAGUGGCUCUGAUUAUUGCUGUUAUUAUUGUUGAUGUUAGAAUUGAGUGAUUCCAGUUAUUUCUCUUAGGACAGCUACACAAGAAAAAUAGAAAAGAAAAAAAGAUGAAGACUUAGGACCUCUGUAUUUUGAAGUAAAGAAAAAAAAGUCAUUCAUUCUAUGUACAAAUGUAACAAGCACUGGCAAGUUCAUGAAACCAAACUAACUGUGGGGAUGGGUAUAGUAAAUUAUGUCUCCUCUUGAGGAUCUUAGCAUCUAGCUAGGAAGACAAGAUCCUCACACAUUAAAAGUAAACAAUAAUAGAGCAUAAGAGUUGAAAUAAUAUGUCAUUAUCGAGGGUAACAAAGGCUAUAGAGUAGUGAGAUCAAUUUAGCAAAUCUCCAGAAUUUAAAUAUCCAAUGUGUGAGGCCUCCUGAGAAAUUAUUCCUGAUUUAAAAAAAAAAAUUUGGAAAAAAAAUGGAAAUUUGCCACUGACAUCCACUGGGUGAGAGUUUAAAAUCUGUUUCUCUUUAGGGGUCUUUUGGCCGUGUCUAUCAAAAUGAAAAAUACAUAGCUUUUGACCCAGAUAUUCUACUUCUAGAAAUUUAUUUUACAGAUACACUCUCACACUGUGCAAAGAAAUAUACAUGAGGAUAUUCACUGAGGCACUGUUUAUUAUACACUGGAAACAACUAAAUGUUCUCAGAGGAUUCUCAGGGAAAUAAAUCACAGGAAAUAUAUGUGGUGGAAUACUAUGCAGCCAUCAAGAGGAAUAAUGUAGAUAUAUAAAUGCUUAUACAGAAAGACAAAGUAAUACUGUUAAACAAAAAGAGCAGUCUAGAGAAUAGUAUAUGUGAAAAACUCAUAUUAAAAGUGAAGUGAUGUAAUAUGAGCCAGCAAUUUCACUUCUGAGUAUACACACAAAAGAAUUGAAAGCGGGAUCUUGAAGAGCUAUUUGUAUAUCUAUGUUCAUAGCAGCAUUAUGCACAAUAGUCAAAGGUGGAAGCAACCCAAAUGAAUGGAUAAACAAAAUAUGGUCUAUACAUACAAUGGAAUAUUAUUCAGCUUUAAAAAGGAAGGAAAUUCUGACACAUGCUACAACAUGGAUGAACCUUCAGGACAUCAUGCUAAGUGAAAUAAACCAGUCACAAAAAGACAAAUACUGUUUGAUUCCACUUAUAUGAGAUAUUGAGAAUAGUCAAACUCAGAAACAGAAAGUAGGAUGGUGGAUGCCAGGGGAAGAGGAGAGGGAAAUGGAGAGUUGUUUAAAGGGUAUAGAGUUUCAGUUUUGGAAGACGAAAAAGUUCUGGAGAUUGGUUGUGUUAACAAUGUGAAUGUACUUAAUACUAUUGAACUGUACACUUAAAAAUGGCUAGGAUGGCAAACUUCAUGUUAUGUGUAUUUUACCAAAAUUAAAAAUUUUUUUAAUGAGCUG